GACGAACCGAGCGAACGUUGUUCGGAAUCACUGGGCUUAAAGGGCGCGUAGGCGGGUGCCCAAGUCCGGGGUGAAAGCCUCCAGCUUAACUGGAGAAUUGCCUCGGAUACUGGGCGUCUGGAGUGGGGUAGGGGUGUGCGGAACGCUGGGUGGAGCGGUGAAAUGCGUUGAUAUCCAGCGGAACUCCGGUGGCGAAAGCGGCACACUGGACCCCGUCUGACGCUGAGGCGCGAAAGCCAGGGGAGCGAACGGG
This 253-nucleotide ribosomal RNA is filed under the name uncultured bacterium. RNAcentral describes it as "partial 16S ribosomal RNA". It matches the Rfam family "Bacterial small subunit ribosomal RNA", at positions 524 to 776 of the family's 1533-position model. The record is from RNAcentral.